Molecule: ribosomal RNA, 418 nt
Filed under: Bradyrhizobium sp.
Lineage: Bacteria; Pseudomonadati; Pseudomonadota; Alphaproteobacteria; Hyphomicrobiales; Nitrobacteraceae
Description: bacterial SSU rRNA
Rfam family: Bacterial small subunit ribosomal RNA
Source: RNAcentral
UGGGAACGUACCUUUUGGUUCGGAACAACACAGGGAAACUUGUGCUAAUACCGGAUAAGCCCUUACGGGGAAAGAUUUAUCGCCGAAAGAUCGGCCCGCGUCUGAUUAGCUAGUUGGUGAGGUAAUGGCUCACCAAGGCGACGAUCAGUAGCUGGUCUGAGAGGAUGAUCAGCCACAUUGGGACUGAGACACGGCCCAAACUCCUACGGGAGGCAGCAGUGGGGAAUAUUGGACAAUGGGGGCAACCCUGAUCCAGCCAUGCCGCGUGAGUGAUGAAGGCCCUAGGGUUGUAAAGCUCUUUUGUGCGGGAAGAUAAUGACGGUACCGCAAGAAUAAGCCCCGGCUAACUUCGUGCCAGCAGCCGCGGUAAUACGAAGGGGGCUAGCGUUGCUCGGAAUCACUGGGCGUAAAGGGUGCG